CCAGGAUGUCCCAUGAGACACACUUGAAGGGAGGCUAAGGUGAGGGCGGCCUUAAGAAUAUUCUGGUGAAGAAACACAUUCCCUGAGCUACACAUGAAGACAUUUAGCUGCUCUGUAACUGGGGUGGGAGGAGGAGAUGCUGAGCUGAGACGAAGAAAUGAACACGUUUGCGUCCAGUUCCCUUACUGUGAAGUGGGCGUAUUGGCCCCUGUCCUGGGGUCUGUCCCUCCCAGGUUGUGCCCGGAGCUCUGAGCACCUGGUCGCCGCCACCUGGUUCCACCUCCAGCCUCCACCCCGUGCCCAGACCACAGACCUGCCUGGCCCACCCACAAGCCCCCCACUUCCUCUCCUUCCUCCCCAGGACCUCGGGAGCACACGGAGCUUCUGUGAUUUAGACCAUUGGAAUGAAUACUUAUUCUAAGUGUGGAUGCAUUUUGGGGACACCCUGUACAUACCAGUUGAAUCAAUAAAUAUUUAUCUGAACGGAA
Molecule: long non-coding RNA, 488 nt
Organism: Myotis brandtii (Brandt's bat)
Lineage: Eukaryota; Metazoa; Chordata; Mammalia; Chiroptera; Vespertilionidae
Exons: 2
Source: RefSeq, a predicted model, not a curated record